UCUGGUCAUGCUUGACUCCUUGUACGCCACCGGCAGCCGAUUUUAAA
RNAcentral lists this small RNA (47 nucleotides) under Arabidopsis thaliana (thale cress). Its description in RNAcentral is "ATSL292110". The record is from RNAcentral. Lineage: Eukaryota; Viridiplantae; Streptophyta; Magnoliopsida; Brassicales; Brassicaceae.